RNAcentral lists this long non-coding RNA (2438 nucleotides) under Sus scrofa (pig). Its description in RNAcentral is "lncRNA (ENSSSCG00000060104.1)". Lineage: Eukaryota; Metazoa; Chordata; Mammalia; Artiodactyla; Suidae. The record is from RNAcentral.
CCAGUUAUUUGUUUACGGGUUGACCUCCUCUACCAGACUAUGAGAUGCUCAUCAGAUAGGAUACUGCUUUAGUCCUCCUGAUGUCCUCUGCAAGACAAGCCAGAAACUGUCCCCAAACAGGCUCAGACUGGGGAUCCUGGCAGCCCUCCUAGAACCCUGGCCCUGGAUCUGCUAUGCCGUCUCCCUGAAAAGCUCAGGAUAGGUAAGGUUCCUAGAGGGUAGGAUGACUGGGCCUCUGGCGCUACCCUGAAGCCCUUCUUCAUCACUAACUAUCCCAUCCAAAGCCAGAAAUUCCCAAGCUGGGUCUGCUGGAUCUCGGGGUUAAAGGACAACAUGAGGAAGAAAGAUGCCACUCCCCCCCAGGGCCAGUCAGAGGUCCAUCUCCCAUUAGAGAUCAGGCCACUGGUCAGCUCAAGAUGAAAUGAAGGUGGAGGACCCUGGUGGGAAGUGUAUGGGUAUCACAUGGCACAGAGUCAGAGGUCCACAAAGAAUCAACUUUUGCCCACAUCUUCCCAGGGGCAUCAGGGACGAAGUCUCUCAGUAAGGUCAAGGGCAGGCUCUGUUUCUAGGUGAGGAUAGGGACUUGGCUCCUGGCAAGAGUGGUCCGUGUAUAAACGAUGCUGGAUCCAUGAAAGUUUAAUAAAUUAAUGAAACCCCUGCUCUCACCUGUGGUCCAGGCUGAGAAUCUCUGCAGGGAAAGUUGAUCCAAGCCUGGGACUGUGCAAAGGAUGCCCCCACCUGGGCUGAGAACAAGAGCCCUGGGCAGUUUAUUGGGAAAUCAAUAAGGAGGCGGGCCCUGUCUGGGAGGCCGACACAUUGUAUACAGGCCCUCUGCAAACACAAUCAUCUCCUUGGUUAUUAAUGGGCCUGCUCACUGCCUCUUCAUUAGUGCUCAAAUAUCAACAGAAAACCGUUUACUUACCAUGGGCUCCUGCUCACGCCAAGCAAAUUUGGACAGGGCUAGUCAAACAGGGAGCUUGUUGUUGGGCUAAUGACAGAGCCCAGUGUAAAGUUUAGCAGCCACAGAAGCAGGCAGAGAGGGCAGUGGCCUGCGCCUGCCCCCAGCGGUGCCCCAUGAGAACCAGGUGGGAGAGGAGUGGGGCCCAGGCAGAAGUGGCCAUCCUGAGCCCCACUGCACAGCCGUGGCUCCACGUGUGAACUCUGCUGAGCCCCUCACACCGUGUGGUCAGUCGCAAUUGCCUCAGAUCUUCACAGUGAUCCCGGGAACCAGGCCCGGUAGGAAGCAUGAGGCAACGUGGGGAAUCCUCAGUUUCCCCAUCUGUAAAAUAGAAAAUGCAACAGUACUUACCUCACAGAGUUAUGGUGAAGACCGAGACAGUGCACAGCACAAUGCUUAGUCCCCAGAAUCCCCUUUUGCAGAUGAGAAAACUGAGGCUUGAAUGAAUUUGAGACUCACUCAAGGUUGUGUGCUUAGGAAGUAACAGAGUCAGCCUGGAGGCCACAGCUAUUGAAUUCAGGUUCAGGGAGAUAUUCCUAAGCAACCCCCACCCCAGGCUAUCUGCUGCCCAUCCUGGCCCAAGAUGCCCUAUGAUGCCAGGAGCACAUCUUGCCCCAAGAUCACAUCCCACCUGAAGUGGCCCAAGCUGCCUGAGCACUCAGCAUGGACCAGCCAAGGCUGACCUACCCUGAGAGGACUCCCCUCCUACUUGCUCUUGUUCCCAGUAUCUCUUUGGGAAUGUCACUGACAGGGGGUGUCCCUUCAUCCUCGCCCAGCCUUGGCCCCUAAGAAAGCGCUGUCUCUUCCUGGAGUCUCCCCAGAACAACUCAUCUGGGCUCAAUGAGGGAGCAGCCUGGCAAGUUUCCUGAAUGGCCUGAGUGCCAAGUUCCUCUGCCGAGUGGCCCAAGCUUGGGGGAGGUGCCCCAAGCACCUGUUUAACAUAGCAGAUGCCUGUUUAAUGUCUUCCCCUGAGGAUAUUAGAGGCUCUCAAGUUGAGCCCAGGACUCACUAGAAAGAAGAAACCUCUGGUGGCUGCACAAUCAGAGAGGCUGAGGGAAGGGGGCAGGGAGCAGAAGAUCCCGUUCCUGGAGCUGCACCUGUGACCUUGGCAGACCUUGCAUCACAUGCCUGCUGCAAACAGUUGACAAGUUGGGCACUAGGGCAGCCCCAGGUUAGGCCUUGGGGAUGCCAAGCUACACCCCCAUGUGCAGAAGGUUUGGGUCUAUUAUGAAGGUACACAAGCAAACAUGCCAGGUGAUCAGAGCUAAAAGGUCCACAGGAAGGGCCUAGAGGUCAGGGACAAAAGGGGACUUGGUUCUGCCUGGGGAACUAAAGAUGACUUCCUAGAACUAGAAGGAUGAGACUGAGUUUCCGGUCAAGGAGAGAAGACAGGCCUCCCAAGUCCAAGAGCAGUGCAUGCAGACAGAAGGCAUGAGAGAGCAGGACACAGAGAGCGGGCAGGGAAAACGGGACCAGUCCU